RNAcentral lists this transfer RNA (68 nucleotides) under Marmota monax (woodchuck). Its description in RNAcentral is "tRNA.Ala". The record is from RNAcentral. Lineage: Eukaryota; Metazoa; Chordata; Mammalia; Rodentia; Sciuridae.
GCUGUGGCUCAGUGGUAGAGCACUUGCUUAGCAUGUGUGAGGCACUGGGUUCGAUCCUUAGCACAACA